GGGGGGGGGGGGGGGGGGGGGGGGGGGGGGCGGGGCGGGCGAGGAGGUGAGGAGCUUGCUCCUCUGGCGUUAGCGGCGGACGGGUGAGUAACACGUGGAUAACCUACCUAUAAGACUGGGAUAACUUCGGGAAACCGGAGCUAAUACCGGAUAAUAUAUUGAACCGCAUGGUUCAAUAGUGAAAGACGGUUUUGCUGUCACUUAUAGAUGGAUCCGCGCCGCAUUAGCUAGUUGGUAAGGUAACGGCUUACCAAGGCAACGAUGCGUAGCCGCCCUGAGAGGGUGAUCGGCCACACUGGAACUGGGACACGGUCCAGACUCCUACGGGAGGCAGAAGUAGGGAAUCUUCCGCAAUGGGCGAAGGCCUGACGGGGCAACGCCGCGUGAGUGAGGAAGGUCUUCGGAUCGUAAAACUCUGUUAUUAGGGAAGAACAAAUGUGUAAGUAACUAUGCACGUCUUGACGGUACCUAAUCAGAAAGCCACGGCUAACUACGUG
This 497-nucleotide ribosomal RNA is filed under the name uncultured bacterium. Its description in RNAcentral is "partial 16S ribosomal RNA". It matches the Rfam family "Bacterial small subunit ribosomal RNA", at positions 38 to 507 of the family's 1533-position model. The record is from RNAcentral.